RNAcentral lists this non-coding RNA (723 nucleotides) under Curculionidae sp. BMNH 1040049. Lineage: Eukaryota; Metazoa; Arthropoda; Insecta; Coleoptera; Curculionidae. The record is from RNAcentral.
UAAAAGUUAAUUUGGCUUUAUAAGAUUAUGUUUAUUUAUAUUAGAUGCGUUGGUUUUUAAAUAUAAAGGUUGCAAUAAUUAUUUUUAUUAAUUUAGUGAAUUGAGAAAUAGUUAUUUAUAUUAGUUUAGACUAAUUUUGUGCCAGCAGUAGCGGUUAAACAAUUUAUGCAUUAUUCUUUUUUUUGUUUUAAUUAAUAUAGAGGAUUAGAUUUAAAUAUUAAUUUUUGGGUGAAAUUUAAAUUUUUAGUUGAUUUUUAUUUAUGAUUUAAUAAAGUUUUUAAUAGUAAACUAGGAUUAGAUACCCUAUUAUAAAAUAAUAUUUUUUGGCUGAGUUAGUAUUAGUUAUUUUCUUGAAAACUAAUAUAGUUGGUAGUUAUUUAAGCCUAUUCAGAGGAAUUUGCUCUGUGAUUGAUAUUCCACGAUUUAAUUUACUUAAUAAAUUUUUGUAUAUCGUCGUUAAAAAUAUUUUAUAAGAAAUUAAUUUUUUUGGUUCAAAGAUUUGGGGUAAGUCAGAUCAUGAUAUAGAUUUUUUAAGAAAGAAGUGAGUUACUUUUUAAACAUAGAUUUUUUGAUGUGAGUAUUAAUGAAAAAGGAUUUGAUAGUAAUUAUUUGGAUAUUCGAAUUUUGAUUUAGUUUUAAUUAUGCACAUAUUGCCCGUCGCUUUCAUUUGAUUGAAAUAAGUCGUAACAUAGUAGAAGUACUGGAAAGUGGUUCUAGAAUGAC